Molecule: long non-coding RNA, 4262 nt
Organism: Prinia subflava (tawny-flanked prinia)
Lineage: Eukaryota; Metazoa; Chordata; Aves; Passeriformes; Cisticolidae
Exons: 3
Source: RefSeq, a predicted model, not a curated record
GAUAACUGGUGUAUUAAUAUAAGCAUGAUAGCUUAUCUUUUAUAAUAGAUAUAAAUCUUCCUGAAAUGUAUGAUUCUUCUAUUUUUCUCUAAAUUAUAAUAUAACUUUUAAUGAAAUAUUGUCUCAUUAUUUCUUGAAAGUCUUGACUAUUAAUUUCUCUUUCUAAAGCCAGAUAAUAUGUCAUAUGCUACAAUAUAUGCAAAAAUCUAUAAUUUUUAUCUUGUUAAAAAGUUCUGGCCUUGUUAUAAAUUCAUCAUAUAAUUAAAAUUAGAAAAUGGAGACUAAAAAAUUAUACUUUAAGCAUUUAAACUGUUUAUUAUAUUUAUCCUUGUACCUUUAAAAAUAAACUUCAUAAGUGAAAAUUUAUGUAAUUAAGCUUUUUGCAUGCAAAAUCUCAUUAAAUUCAAUGAAUCAUUUCAAAUUCAAAAAAGACACAAGUCUAAAAGUUCUGUUUCUGCCCACUCCAUGGAUGGUAAAGUUGUGUUCUGAUGCUUCUAAUGACUGAAAAACUUUGUCAUUGGUUCUCCUUUUCUAUCACAGUGGAGAAUUCACAAUAGAUUUUUGUCUUAAGGUGGCUGAAAUUGAACUCGCUACCUUAAAUGUAGAAAAAUUGAAUCUAUGAUAAGGAAAUCACAAUAUCUAAUAUGCAAUUACCACUGUCAGUCUUUCAGCUCUCAGUGAUUACUUAUGUUAUCUGUCCCAAGGAAAAAAAGUGGAAAGUGAAAACUGUUCCUAAAUAUACCUAUCUUUUCAACAUAUGUCCUUUAAAAAAAAAAAAAAAAAAGGACUACUAACUCAGAGAUAUGAGGGAGAAAAAGAAAAUUCGGAUAAGUAACAGCUUACUGUUACUAUUUGUGUUACUAACCAUUACUAUUUACAGCACACAUUCACAUCCUAGAGCUGACCUAGUCUUCCUGUGGAUCCUUGUGGGUGAAAAUCUGUGCAGGAGUCACAGGGUGCAUUCACAGCCCAGAAAGUUAACCAUAAAAAAAACCCCAAAAAACUGUAACAAACCCCAGAAGCCGAUUCAAAAUCAGAAUGGACAGUAGGUCAAGGAAGGGUGUUCUCCCCCUCUACUCUUCCCUCUUGAGGGUCCCACCGGCAUUAUUGCAUCCAAGACUGGGGUGCAAGACUAGAAGGGCUUGUCAGAAUGGGUCCGGAGAAGAGCCACAAAAAUGACCAGGGCACCUCUCCUAUGAAGACAGGCUGAGACUUCCAGGGUUGUUCAGACUGGAGAAGGCUUGGAGGACACAUCAUUGUGGCCUUCCAGUGCCUUAAUGGGGCUUAUUAAAGGGAGGGAGAGGGACUUUUUAUACGAGCACAUAGUGACAGGACAAGGGGCAACGGUUCUAAACUGAAAGGGGCAGGUUUAGAUUGGAUGUUGGGAAGAAAUUCUCCAGUGCAAGAGCGGUGAAGAACUGGAACAGUUUAAUCAGAGAGGCUGUGGAUGUCCCAUUCAGGGAGUGUUCAGUUCCAGACUUGAUGGGGGAAUUGAGCAAGCUGGUCUAAGGAAAGGCAUCUCUGCCCAUGGCAGUGGGGUUUGGAACCAGAUAUCUUUAAGAUCUCCUCCAACCCAAACCAUUCUAUGAUUGCAUUAUUUCAGUGCUGCAUUAAAACAAUGCUAAUACAGUAAGUUUGAGAUGCUGUGUUUAGUUUACUCAGUUACAUUAGAAUAAGUGGAGAAAAAAGGUUUAAGAUAAAGGUAAGUGUAGCUAGUGAUGUUAAACUCCCAGUGUUCAGCUCAUAGCUAUGACUAUAUACAUUACCACAGCAGUGGAUAAAGGUAAUCCUCUUUCUACUUUGAAGAAUACUUAGAAUUCUUUUAUUGCAUCAAAAUCCCACAGGAAUGAAAUGAGUAUUAAAUCUCAUAAAGUGGAGAAACUCCAAGAGAGAGAUGCACUCUCGCUUGUAGUAGAGUCUGUGGGUGGCCAUGAGUGGCAAAUUAGAUAGGAGUUUGCAGUGUAAUAUGACAGAAAAAUGCAAUUCAACAAAAGUAACAAGUCAUGGAGAAUGACAGCAGUUGUCAUUCUAUACAGCUCAUGUGAUAUAGGAUCACCCAAACACACCAUUCCAUUGCAUGUAGUUUGGCAUCAGAGAAGCUGUUGAUAUACAACUUGAGAAGAUAAUUUGUAUUGAAGGGCUGCAUAUUUGAAGAAAAAAAAAAAAAUAGAAAGAUGUAGGUGGGUGGACAAGAGGAUUACCCAUUGAUAAUUUCCUAUAUAUACCUGAAGAAAGAAAAUCACUGGUGGGAUUAACUAUUGUCCUACUGGAACUCGCAGUGCUACUGGAAUGCUAUUGCAUCCCUGCAACAUCAGAGCUAAAUUUGUCUAAAGCGUACUAGAAUAUGCACUAGAAAUUUGUUUCACUAAAAUGUUGAUAUAUCAAUGCCUUCAUUAAUCUUUAUAAUAUAAUUCCACCUUUUUUUAUAGGAUGAAAACAAGGAGGAAAAAUAUGGUGAUGUGAUUAGUUAAAGCUGGUGGGAAGCUGAGCCCAACACAGCUGCUCACUCAGUACCUGACAGUGGGAUGAGGGAGAGAAGUGGAAGAGCAAAAGACAGUGGAAUUGAGUGACCCUCGAGCAACUUUGCUGACUACACCAAUCUGUGUGGUGAUGUUGAGAUGCUGCAGGGUAGGGGUGACAUCCAGAGGAACCUUGAUAGGUUUGAGAGAUCCAGACAGUGGAUUAAAGCAUAACAUUGCACUUUAUUAAAAUAGAUGAACUGUUUUAAUAAUCAUGAGAAGAAUAUGGAAGAAAAUUGUGAAUUAUGUGAAUUUAUGUGAAUUAAAAGAAAAAUUAAAAGAAAAAAAAACACCUCUAAAAUUCAUCUGUAAAGAUGAAAGAAUGGCAUCAGAAUAAUGCUAAGGAGGCAUCUGUCCACUUUUACUGCAAUGUCUUUAGUGAGAGAGUAAAUCACAUCAGUUGGUAUUCGUCUCAUCUCAUCUAUUUUCUGCUGGCUAACUAUGAAAACUAUGUUUUAUGAAUACAAACUCUCCCAGUUUAAGCUCUGAUACAAAAGAUUGGUACAUCUAGCAAAAUUAUAUCCAGCUAUUUCCUAUUUUGUUUGCAGCAAUGAGGAUUACCCUUAAACCAACAAUCAACCAACCACCAACCAACCAACCAACCAAACAAAAACUCUCUGGAUCAUAUUAAUACUGAAAAUGAAAAAAAAACAUGAAGAAAGCAUAUUGUAUAAGUGUUCCUAAUAUAAAUCAAGCAUCAUGACACUAUUACAAUACACAUUGAACAAUACUUUUUGGCGUGUUUCAUCCAAUAUUCUAUAUGAAUUAAAUGGAAACAUAUACCAAUUUAAAUAACAUACAACAAAAGUGAUGACUAGCAGAGGAGUAAUGCAGAACUGUUUAUUGAAACCUAAGAAGGGAGGUUGUCAUGGAAACAGCUGGGUUAGAAAUCUUUUUGUUGCUACAAUUUUAUUCAGCUGAUGUUUAUUCUUUAUGUUAUUUUAAUAAAUUCAUCUUCCGGAUGUCAUUCCUGAUUUUAAUUUUUUUCAGAAUAAGGUGUUAUGUUAAGAACUUUUCAGAUGUAAAGAAAAGACUAAUGGCGUAUUCAUGUACACUGAAACAUACAAAAAGGAAAAUUUUCAUUUUACUCCUACUCUCAUUUAGCUGAAAGACUAAAAGAAAAGUUGAGUAGAAGAGUGAGUCAUUCCCUCCAUAGAAGGCUAUCAUGACACGCUACACAAUAUUUUGCCUCAAGUGAACUAAAGGAAGAAGGAAACCUGUAAAAACAGUCUCACUAAAUUUGAACAACUUAAAUUAUUUAUCCUACAUGAAUAAAACAAGAGAAAUGAAAACAGCAACUAAUAGAAGUAAUUUUAAAAAAUAAUUUAAAACCAAAAAAUCUUUAAAAUUAAAACAAAUAAAAUAAACAAGAAGCAGGUUAACCAGAAAAGGAACGUAAGUACUCAGUGACAAAAAAGAAAAAUUCUUGCUAACUAGCCUGUCUGCAAGAAACAGAAAUUUAAUUUGUCUUUAUGAACAUACCUGCAACAAAUACAACUUUGUAAAUAUUAAUUUUCAUAGAGAAAAAAAAGGUGAAAUACCAAAGGAAGCAGAAUGGAAAGGGUAACAAGUGGCAUGUCUUCAGAAAACAAUCUGAAGGAAGCAAUAUAAAACAAAUUUAAAAGCAUACUCAAAGAAUUAAUAGUAUUUCAAUCAGCAAUAUAAAUGGCCAAAAUGAAAAGAAACACUAGGGACCAAUAAAAACGAUAUGAAGACUGAGCCACAUAAAAGAAAAAUGUACAA